RNAcentral lists this microRNA precursor (124 nucleotides) under Daucus carota subsp. sativus. RNAcentral describes it as "sRNA DCAR_mi00068". It matches the Rfam family "MIR390 microRNA precursor family". The record is from Rfam by way of RNAcentral. Lineage: Eukaryota; Viridiplantae; Streptophyta; Magnoliopsida; Apiales; Apiaceae.
UGGGAGGAUCCGUAAAGCUCAGGAGGGAUAGCGCCAUGUCAUAUAUCAAACUCCAGAUUUCACAAAGUUGUAUGAUGAUCAUCAACUGUGGCGCUAUCUAUCCUGAGUUUCAUUGCUUCUUCCU